Molecule: ribosomal RNA, 496 nt
Filed under: uncultured bacterium
Lineage: Bacteria
Description: partial 16S ribosomal RNA
Rfam family: Bacterial small subunit ribosomal RNA
Source: RNAcentral
GAUGAACGCUGGCGGCGUGCCUAAUACAUGCAAGUCGAGCGAACAGACGAGGAGCUUGCUCCUCUGACGUUAGCGGCGGACGGGUGAGUAACACGUGGAUAACCUACCUAUAAGACUGGGAUAACUUCGGGAAACCGGAGCUAAUACCGGAUAACAUGUUGAACCGCAUGGUUCAACAGUGAAAGACGGUUUUGCUGUCACUUAUAGAUGGAUCCGCGUCGCAUUAGCUAGUUGGUAAGGUAACGGCUUACCAAGGCAACGAUGCGUAGCCGACCUGAGAGGGUGAUCGGCCACACUGGAACUGAGACACGGUCCAGACUCCUACGGGAGGCAGCAGUAGGGAAUCUUCCGCAGUGGGCGAAAGCCUGACGGAGCAACGCCGCGUGAGUGAAGAAGGUCUGCGGAUCGUAAAACUCUGUUAUUAGGGAAGAACAAAUGUGUAAGUAACUAUGCACGUCUUGACGGUACCUAAGCAGAAAGCCACGGCUAACUACGU